RNA transcript from Prosopis cineraria, 2306 nucleotides. RefSeq lists it as uncharacterized. NCBI's taxonomy places the organism in Eukaryota, Viridiplantae, Streptophyta, Magnoliopsida, Fabales, Fabaceae. The transcript is spliced from 11 exons. The record is from RefSeq and is a predicted model, not a curated record.
GAAAGCACAUACCCGGCAUGGUGCCCAUUUUAUUAUCAACCUCCAUUACCUUUCGUCGCGUCUCUAUUCCUGCCAAAACACGCAAACUCGGUAUGGCUUCUACCUUUCUCCAACGGCCAUUGCUUGAAUUAGGAAUUGCACUUGUUACUAUCAAAAAGCCGGGUUUACGACUUUUCGAUUAUUAUUUUUCUUAACAUUUUACUGGCUUUUCGUCUGCUUAUGUAUAUCCAAAAUUUAUAAUUAUAAUAUAUAUAUGUGUGUGUGUGUGCACCUGAUCGAUAACAAUGUGCGCUCCUAGAGCCACGCGGGUCCGAAUUGCAGAGCUCGGAUGGGAAGAGUGGACACGGGUGAUUGGAAAAACUUGUGAAGCUUUCUACCAAAUCACUAAAUUAGCUUUUACUUUCUUCUUAGGAUGAGUUUGGAGGAGAAUGCGUUAGAGGUACCUGACAAAAAGGACCAUGCUUGCCAAGCGAGCACCUUAUGUACGCAUGCUUUUUAUGAUCUAACCCAUGUCUCUCCGGUGGUAUUCUUAUACCUUCUGAAAGAAUGCUAUUUUUAUGGCACAUGUAAGGCAACAGCAAAGUUUCGAGCCCUUCAGCAUCAGGUUUAUCUUGUGCUGCACAAUGAUCCUAAACCUGGACCAGCAACUUUUAUUGUUCAAUGCCUGUAUAUAUCACCUUUGUUUGAAGAUCAUAGUCGAGGCUUUAGUCACUUGGUUAUAUCUGCUCUUUGCCGCUUCCAUAAAGUAGCAACAACCUCAGAGGACUCCUUGGCGAUGAAAGACUUAGCUGCCAAUCUAUUCCUUGAUAUUGUUAGGGGGCGGGUUUAUCAUGACAAAAAUAUAAUUGUGAAAAUACUGGAAGUUUUUGAUGUUAAACUAACUAAUAUUCGGAGAGCCAUGAGCCAUUUGAAAGAAAAGAAUGAUUCAAGUUUUGGCACAGCGGAAGAAUUCAUCAGGCAGUAUAUUUUUGAGUUGGUAGAGUCCCAACUGUAUAUGAAAGCUGUCACACUAAUGGAGCGCUUCUCUAUCCGCCAGUCUGGGCAGUCAUUUCUCCUUAGCAUGAUUGAUGAUAAUCAAUUCAAAGCAGCAGAGAAGUGGGCUAUAUUCAUGGGGAAGCCAAUGUUGUGCACCCUUGUUGAGAAGUACAUUCGGAGGAACAUGCUAAAGGAUGCCUAUGAGACUAUAAAGAAAAGCAAUCUACAGCAAGAUUUUCCUGACUUUUACCAGAGUUUUGAAGAAAGCUCACUGAAAAAGUUAGCAGAAAAAGGAUGUUGGGAUGUGGCUGAGGCAAAAGCAAACAAUGAUAGACAGCUUGUCGAACAUCUGGUUUAUUUGGCAAUGGAGGCUGGUUACAUGGAGAAGGUUGAUGAAUUGUGUGAUCGGUACUCCUUAGACGGGUUUUCAGAUAUCAAAGUACCUGAAACAAGCAUUAAACAUGGGCGUUAUUUGCAUCUUGAUGAACUGUUUGUUGGAGGCAUCAUCUGGGUUGAUGAAGUAGAAGGUUUGGUUGACGCAACAAGUCAUAUUGAGAGAUGUAAACUUAUCGGAGUUGAUUGUGAAUGGAAACCUAAUUAUGUAAAAGGCGGCAAACCAAACAAGGUUUCUAUCAUGCAACUUGCUACUGAAGAGACAGUUUUUAUCUUUGAUCUUAUAAAAUUACAUGGAGAGGUUCCUGACAUUUUAGACAACUGCCUAGCCCGCAUUUUGCAGUCACCUAGAAUUUUAAAACUUGGGUAUAACUUCGUGUGUGAUAUAAAGCAGCUUGCUCACUCGUACGGAGAAUUAUCAUGUUUCAAGCAUUGUGAAAAGGUUCUGGACAUUCAGAACAUUUUUAAAGAAACCCGAGGAGGUUUGUCUGGGCUUGCUGAGAAAAUAUUGGGGGCUGGUUUGAACAAGACGAGGCGAAACAGCAACUGGGAGCAACGGCCAUUAACUCGAAAUCAAAAUAUGCUGCCCUGGAUGCUGUCGUACUAAUUCACAUAUUCUGCCAUCUUCGCUGUCAGUCUCAGCCUCUAGGCGACAAAUUUGAGUGGAAGUCUUGCAUAGUGACCCACACGGAAAAUGUCAAGAAAACUAGCCAGCAUGCCACAAAUUAAAAGGAGGACCAGCAAGCAUUGUGCCUCCUCACUCCUUGGCUUUCCAUGUUGGAGAUUUUUCUGUUGACCAUUUCAUGAAGUGAUGGUCAUUUGUUAAAAAAAAUAAUAAUAAUAAUAGUAGCGUAAAAUUAACAAUUUACACUUCAUUGUGUAUAUACGUCAAAUUACUCAACGAAUUGAACGGCGGAAACCUGCUUUCUCAUUUGGCA